RNAcentral lists this long non-coding RNA (10023 nucleotides) under Brassica napus (rape). RNAcentral's name for it is "long non-coding RNA (BNAP_LNC003521)". Lineage: Eukaryota; Viridiplantae; Streptophyta; Magnoliopsida; Brassicales; Brassicaceae. The record is from RNAcentral.
CAGGUCUCCUCUUCCUUUCUCAUCUAUUCCCUUUUUAAAUCCUUUUUUAUUUUUUGCUUUAAUCGCUUGUUUCAUGGGCGAUCACUUUUCUCUCUUGCGAUCGGUGAAUUUUGAUUCUUCUGUCUACCCAUAAACCUCGUGUUGACAUGUGUUUCGCGAUCUAACAAUAUAUAUUAUUAGUGUUUACGGAUUGUUUUAGACAUCAAUCAUCGAUCCUCUCGCUGAGGAAAAUUGCAGUUCCUAGUCUUGCGAACUGUUGAUUUGUUCCUAAUUUGGGGGUUACUGAUCCUAGAGGAAUUGGAUUUCAUUAAUCUAUUUGAUUCAUCAUCAUCAUUAUGUGUUGCGUGCAGAGUAUCAAUAAUCAAUCUACCUUGGAACAAUGAGUGAGGUGUUUAACGGAUACGAGCGCCAAUACUGCGACCUCUCGGCCAACCUCUCCAAGAAAUGCUCCUCUGCUAUUGCCCUUGACGGAGGUAAGUAAUUCCAUAUCAUCUCUUGCUCCUCAUCCACUGCCCCUAACUUCCUUCCUCUUUUAUGAGUUACUACAAGCCUUUCUCUGCUUUCCAGGGCCGGCCCUAGGCCAUGCUAGGUGAAACAUUCGCAACAGGCCCCUAAAAUUUUUGAAAAAAAUUACAUACAAAUAAGCCCCAAAACAAAAUUUCAUACAGCAGGGUCAGACCUCCAGAAUCUCAGGUCUGGCCCUGCUGCUUCCCUUUGAAAGCUGAUGAUACCUUUACUGAUUGAAUUGCAGAACAAAAGAAGCAGAAGCUCUCUGAGAUAAGAUCUGGCCUCGAUAAUGCUGAAGCAUUGGUAUGUGUGACUCUGGAAUAUAGCAGUUUUUUCUUUAUUGUCCCUUUUAACAUUUUUUCUUAUUCACCAGAUUAGGAAAAUGGAUGUUGAGGCGAGGAGCCUUCCACCGAGCAUUAGGACCAGCCUCCUUGUUAAACUAAGAGAGUUCAAGUCCGAUCUCAACAACUUCAAAAGCGAAGUCAAGAGGAUCACAUCUGCUAACUUGAAUGCUGCUGCUCGCGACGAGCUGCUUGAAGCUGGUCUGGCUGACACAAAGACGGUAUGUAAAGAGAACUCACUAGUAUCUUUUUUGACAUCUUUUGAUUGAUCUAUGACAUUUGAGGGCAGGCUUCGGCUGAUCAAAGAGCGAGAUUGAUGAUGUCAACCGAUCGAUUGGGUCGAACCACUGACAGAAUCAAGGACAGUCGAAGAAUGAUGAUUGAGACUGAAGAGCUUGGAGUUUCUGUCCUACAAGACUUGCACAGUCAGAGACAGUCUCUCCUUCGCACUGGCGACACGGUAUGUACUCUCUUCUUCAGCACGAUUUUAUCAUGAAGAAGACUACGUUUUAUUUAUAUACUACUUGUGAUUGGUGUCUCUUUUAACCAAAAGUUAGAACUCUGAAACAUGCAGCUUAGUGGAGUAGACGAAAAUGUCGGAAAGAGCAAGAAGAUCUUGACGGGCAUGACCAGGGGGAUGAACAGGAACAAAUGGACCAUUGGAGCCAUUAUCACCGCUCUGGUCGCGGCUAUUAUCCUCAUCUUGUACUUCAAACUCACCAAGUAAUCCCUCUGUAUCUAAACUCUUUGUCGCUGAACAAAUGGUGUGUAUCUUUUAUUUAAUCCUUUUCUGGCUUUCUGUGUGAUAAGUUAUGUCUUUGCCACCUUUUGUAUUAUCACGUUCUCUUGUUUGCGUUUGCGAUUACAUUUGUGUAUUUUAAUACUGAAUGAUGCAAAUUGUUUUGUUUUAUUAUUACUAAACGCAAGCGUAAAUUACAUUUCAAACAAUUAGAGCCUAAGCCUUGAGAUUGAGAACUAGUUGUGUGUUUUUCUUUCAUUCUUGAACCUGUUAUAAUCAGCGAGCAAGCUCUCAAUAACCUUAUGUUUCAUGCUAUCCACCAAACCAGUCAAAAUCUGUAGAAACCAAAUCACAACCAAACAUUAUUUACAAAGCUGAAAUAGUGGAAAAUAUCGUUUUCGAGUUCUCAAACGCAUAUAAGAAACCGUUUCUAACCGCAUUGGCCACGCUUCUCUUAACAUCUUCGGGUACAAACGCAAGAACCGAAGGAAGGACGAAGCUUACGUUCAUCUCUAAUUGACCUUUGAGCCUUGUGUGGCUUCCGCCUCGGUCUGGGUACAAUGCUCCUUGAACUCCCAGAGUGAAAUCAGACUGUUCCAUGACCUGGCCAAGCCCUUGAAGCUCCCAUUUCAUCUGAAGGUAAACCGUUAAAAGGGAACAAAAGAGUGAGAAUCGUCAAGGGUUGUGUCUGUUUCUAUUACCAUGUUAAGCUCAAGAACUCUGGUUAUGUCUAGAGGUACAUCAGGCGGGUAAUCUUGACCGUUGGAUUUGCAUCUAAUUCGCAUGUCCACCACUGGCCUUGCAGUGAGGAAGAGGAAAUUUAUAGGUGACAUAUGAAUUCUCCAUUCUUCCUGCACAAAUAAAAUAUUGUUAGAUACCGAAUGCAUUCCCACUUACAUAAAAAGUAACACAUAUUAGCUACCUCGUUAAGCCUAUAGCUUCUAGGUUUAUCAGGAAACAUUGCUUUGAAAACCCUACACUUAUCCUCCAAAUACUCAUCGAACAACGCCUGAACUUUCCCGAAACGCGUCAAACACAUACACUGUUGUACAGUGAUGCAUAUAUAUAACUCAUUAUAGGAAAUGAGAGUGAGAAUGAGACCUGAGGAGACUCGUGCAAUUGAACAUCGGUAGAGAAUUUAGAUGAAUACUUGGAGGCUUUUACAGUUGACAACUGGCACUUGGCUCCUGGCCGUAAUGUUCUCAUCUCCGCCGCUGUAGACCUGAUUCUUCCCAGCAUUGUCGGACACGACAAAACUGUUGAGCUGACAGCCAUGUUAGUAGUCUCUCUCUAGGUUUUCAAGAUUGGAUGAUGUUUGAUCUUUCCCACAUGUUUGAAAGAUAAGGGGAUAUGUGUCUUUCGGCCUUGUAUGUAGACGUGGUAUAUCGAGGGACUAUCCACCUCAUCAACAUUUUGAAUUCUUGGCCCUCUUUGAUUUACUCCUUUAUUCACGUUUUUCUCACUAUUAAGAAGAAGACAAUCUUGUUGAACAAAUAAUUAAAAAAAAGAAGACAAUCUCUUUCUCUCUAUACUCUUUCAGUCUUUCUUCGGUUCUCUGUUAUGAAAACAGUCUCCUUUCUUUCGGCUAAAUCAGGUCAAUAACAGAAAAUUGUGUGUUUUUUUUACAGUGUUCUAAAAAUUGGUUUAGAUGACACAUUAAAAAAAGUCUAACCAUACAUUUAAUCAACAAUCUUCGUAAAAAGUAUAACUACCGCCUAACGAUUUUUUGCAUUGUUUUUCUCUCAAAAUAUUACAAUUGACAGAUUUAAUAUUCAAAUAUUAUAGUUACUCCAUAACUAAUAGCUCGACGGCAUAAAAUUGACAUGAUAUAGUCAAUAGUUUCGUCUAUUUUUAACAGUUGACUAUUAUAAUCCUAAUUUUUUUAAUUAUAAUCCUAGUUUUAUGGUGUAUAUAUAUACUAGUUGAUACAAGUUGUUUUGUUUAAUAUAAACGUAUACGCCAAACAUGGCGCAUAAAUUACAUUCAAACCAUUAAAGCUUUAGCCUUGAGAUUAAAAACUAAUGAUGUGUUCUUCUUUCAUUCUUAAACCUAUUAUAAUCAUCGAGCAAGCUCUCAAUAACCUUAUGCUUCAUAUUAUCCACCAAACCAUUUAAAACCUGCAGAAAGCAAAUAAAAACAUAAGAUAAUAUAUAAAUUUGGAAUAUAGUGUUUUGAAUUUGCAAAUGCAUUUAUUUCUAACCGCAUUGGCAACGUUUCUCCUAACAUCCUCUGGUACAAGCAUGAGAACCGUAGGAAGCACGAAGCUAACGUUCAUCUCUAGUCGACCUUUGAGCCUUGUGUGCCUUCCGCCUCGGUCUGGGUACAAUGCUCCUUGAACUCCAAGGGUGAAAUCAGAUGGCUCCAUGACCCGGUCAAGCCCUUGAAGCUCCCAUUUCAUCUGAAAAUAAACCGUUCAAAGAGAACAAAAGAGUGAGGUAUUUAGACUUUUUAGUACUUCCUCCAUUCAACGAAGAUAUAAAUCUUGGAUAUUUCACACAAUUUAAAUAUAAAUUUACAAUUCUAAAAUAUUUUUUUAAUACCAUAAUUUAAAAAAAAUCAAUUUAUUUCAACAGUAUUGUCUUAAUCAAUAUGAUCAGUAAAUAAAGGUAAACAAUUAUUCAUAAAACUUUUCUCUUUCUGAAACAAUUAAAAAUGUCAAAACUUGUAUUUUUGUGGAAAGGAGUGAGUACCAUGUUAAGCUCAAGGACUUUGGUUAUGUCUAGAGGUACAUCAGGCGGGUAAUCCUGACCGGUGGAUUUGCAUCGGAUCCGCAUGACCACCACUGGCCACGCAGUGAGGAAGAGAAAUUUUAUUGGCAACAUUUGGAUUCUCCAUUCUUCCUGCACAAGUAAAUCAUGUCGGUCUUUUCGUUAGAGUAACCAAAGAAUGCAACCCAGAGCCGUGCCUGACUAGAGGCUGAUCAAGCACUUGCUUGAGGCCAAAACGUAGAUAAAUAGUUUUAUGGGCCAAUUUCUUGGCAAGAGUUGUCUACAGAACAGUUGGUAAUAGUCUGUAUUAUUACUCUAGGGUCCCGGGUUCAAUCACGAGUAUAGCAGUUUGACCUUUUUUCCAAAAAAUUUAUAGUUUAUGGGGCAAAUUUUUUUUAGUGCUUUAGGACCCACAAUAUUCAGGCAUGGCCCUGAAUUGCAACCCCACACUUAUAAAAAUGGAACAUGGAUGUUACCUCGUUAAGCCUAUAGCUUUUGGGUUUAUCAGGAAACAUUGCUUUGAAAACCCUCGACUUAUCCUCCAAAUACUCAUCGAACAACGCCUGAAGUUUCAAAGCAUUACAACACAAACAGUUUUACACUGAUGCAUACAUAUAUAACAUUAUAGAGAUUGAAAGUGAGAAAGAGAUACCAGAGGAGACUCGUGCAGUUGAACAUCGGUAGUUAUUUUAGAUGAAUAUUUGGAGGGUUUUACGGGUGACAACUGACACUUAACUCCCCACCGUAUUGUUCUCAUCUCCACCGCCACCGACCGGCGUCUUCCGAACAUCUUCGGGCAUGACAAAACCAUUGAGCUUACAGCCAUUUUACCAGUCUUUCUCUCUCUUUUUUGGUCUUCAAGAUUGGAUGAUAUUUGAUCUUUCCCACUUUUCUCUCUCUCUAUAUUUAUAUAUAUCUUCAGAGGAAAGAUUGCGUCUUUGCUUCUCUUUAAUACGUUUAGAGACCUUUGUUAAAGAAAAUAGAGACAGAGAGUAACAUUCUCACGGUACGCAUUUGGAAGAUAGUGGAUUUCGAGAAAUAAUUGUUGAAACAUUGCUUUUCAACCUCUAUAGUAACCGGGUACAUAUUCGGUUUGGUUUAAUUGUUUCAGGUUUUGUAAGAAAUAUAAGUCCACUUCAUUUAAUUUAGUUUAGUUUGGUUUGGUUUAGUUAAGAGGUUACCCAUUUAUUUUGCCAUCUACGUGGUGAUAAUGUAAAGCCUCGUCUGUCACGCAGUUGUUGAUGAGAGUGACACGAGAACAUUGAACGUUGAGAAUAAUCUGUAGAAUAACUUCUAUCACACGCAGAGGUUUUGAAAAAAAAAAGAAAAAGAAUUCAUUGCUUUCGAAACCGACAAACUCUCGGACCGAAUACUAAGAAACCGGUUUACUUUGGCGCCUAGGAAUAUGGGUUACUAACUUUGACUUUUAAUGUAAGCAAUAAGCAAAGAUCUCUUGUUGUUUGCAACUCUUUCAACUCUAUAAUCUUUGUUUUUCAGACUGGCUAAGUAAAUUAAAACAUUAAAAUCUUAUAUAGUAUGUUACGAUGACUGUUCAUAAACGAUUUGUUCAUGUUGGAUUGAGAAACUAUACAUGGUUGAGCAUUGACAUUAAAAUUCGGCUUUAGUAGAUAACUUGUGUAAUCUUCUCUCGUUCUUGAACCUGCUAUAAUCAGCGAGCAAGCUCCCAUUAACCUUAUGCUUCAUAUUCUCCACUAAACCUGUCAAAACCUGUAAAUGGGUCCAAAUCAGAUCAUGUGUAAAUCAUAAGAGAUAGUCAAAUAAGGUUUUACAUACCGCACUGGCCAAGUUUCUCCUAACGUCUUCAGGUACCAAUUCAAGAACCGGGGGAAGAACAAAGCUUAUGUUCAUCUCUAGCUGACCUCUGAGCCUUGUGUGCUUUCCUCUCCGGUCUGGGUACAAUGCUCCUUUGACUCCCAAACUGAAGUCAGACGGUUGCAUCACUCGGUCAAGCCCUUUAAGUUGCCAUCUCGUCUGAAAAGAAGCAUUUAAGAGUUUGAGUAAUGGAAGAUGAAGAAACGAAGAGAGAGAAAAGUUAUUACCAUGUUGAGCUCAACAACUUUGGUUAUGUCUAAAGGUACGUCUGCCGGGUAAUCCUGACCGUUGGAUUUGCAACUUAAACGCAUAUCGACCACAGGCCACACAGUGAGGAAGAGGAAAUUAAUUGGUAACAUCUGAAUCCUCCACUCUUCCUGCAAAAAUUCAAUUUAUCCAAGUAGACUUAAAAUAGUGAAAAAGGGGGCGUUCCGAGAAUUGAACUCGGGACCUCUCGCACCCUAAGCGAGAAUCAUACCACUAGACCAAACGCCCGUUUUGAACGUGUUUUAUAUAUAACUAAUGUUAGUCAUAUUAGUUGACGUACCUCGUUAAGCUUAUGGCUUCUGGGUUUGUCAGGGAACAUGGCUUCGAAAACUCUCGAUUUAUCCUCUAAAUAGUCAUCAAACAACGCCUAAAAGUUCCUCAAAAUCACAUUUAAGAAACGCACCAAAACAGUUUAAACUGAAUCGUGUUAUAGAGGGAGAGAGAGAAGGAGACCUGAGGAGACUCGUGGAGAGGAAUAUCUGUGGAGAGUCUUGACGAAUACGUGGCAGGUUUUAUGGAUGAUACCUGACACCUAACUCUCCACCGUGUAAUUGGUCUCAUCUCCGUCUUCACCGGUCGGUAAGUUCCGAACAUGGGCGAUGACAAAACCGCCAUUUCACCGAUUAUCUUUUCAAUAUCAGAACUUUUAUAUAUUCCACAUUUCUCUUUUGAUUUCUCUCUGAAAGUUAAAAACUUUUGAAAGAACUUUUAGAUUUCUCUAGAGGAGUGAAGUUGCUUUUUGCUAGAGAUUUUGGAGGGAUAAGGGGAUAUCUGUCUUUCGGCCUUCUAUGUCGACGUGGCAUAUUUUGAGACUAGCCACAUCAUCAACAUUUGGAAUUCGUAGGGCCCUUCUUUUCUUUGUACUCCUUUCGGACUUUUCCUUUCCGUUAGUGGAUGAGAAUGACACGAGACGAAACUAAAAAAAAAAAAAACUCAAAUGUAUUAUCUGACGACAAAGGAAGGUUCGACAAACUAAACUCAAUCCUUAUUUUACAUUAGUUCCACUGUACAUGUUCUGUCAUAUUAAAAGAUCAAGAAUAUUCAAAUCCUACGAGCAACGCAUUAUAUUGUCGGAUGAAUUUCCUUGAAAGUGUAUGGUUUGAAAUUUCAGGACUGUAGAGGGCACACAGAUGAUCCUCCUAAAGAAUGUAGAUAUCAAACCUUAAGUUCUGUGAUUUGUUCUUCGAUUUCUUGCUUAUAAAAGCAAACUAAAAUGAAAUGUGGAACGUAAAUGCCACAAUUGAUUCACGGCUUCGUUGAGCUCACUUCACUCUCUUUGUUAAAACUCAAAUACAUCUCGAUCUUCUUAGUUCCAACAACCAAAGAGGAUACAAAAGACAAUCUUUCACGGUUUAUUUCUAACAUUAGUAAGAAAAGGACUCGUCUCUUUCUCUCUUAAUUCCUUCACGGUUAAAACCUCAAGUCAAACCGUCAACACACUUAUGGGCCUUAUCCAUUUCCUAACUGGGCCUUAAUUUUAAUUUUAAUUUCUAGUCCAAUCGGUAAUCGCUUCGAUCUGUCGGUAGACAGAAUAGAAUAAUGGUUUCGCCGGUUAAACCAGUCGGCAAUCGGUACGAUCAGAUUGCAUAAAAGCAAAUCAUAAUAAGUCACGUGGCACAGUUUACACGGUUCGUAGACUCGUAGUGGUCGCCAUGUAAACAGCGGGAAAACAGGGCCCCACACAUAUUAACUAAGGAGUAGGACCAACAAAAUCAUCACCACGAAACGCAGCGUUUCCCCUUCGUCUCCGCGUUUAAAAUCUUCUUUCACCCUUUCGUCAUUUCGUCAGAUCCAAGAGAGAGAGAGAGAAAUCAGAAAAAGAUCUUGAAACGAUGCCGUACUACACCAGAGACGAGGAUGAAGUCGACGAUUUCGACGAGUUCGAUCCGACGCCGUACAGUGGAGGCUACGACAUCACCGUGAUCUACGGCCGUCCGAUCCCUCCUUGCGACGACACUUGCUACCCUCUCUCCUCCGCAGCGGAUGAAGAUUUCGAGUACGAGAGACCUGAAUUCACCUCGUACCACGAUCCUUCCGCCUACGCCGAAGAAGCUCUCAACCCCGAGUACAGCAGCUACUCCCGCCCCAAGCCCCGUCCCGGUUUUCGACCCGGUUCUGCCGGAGGCGGUCACGUCCAAGGUGAGCGACCCGAUCAGAGUUACGGAUCCGGUUACGGUGGUCAGACGGAGGCUGAGUACGGUAGGAGACCUGAAUCGGGGUACGGCGGAGCCACGGAGACGGAGUAUGGCCGGAGACCUGAGCAGAGUUACGGAUCUGGUGGAUACGGUGGCAGAUCGGAGGUUGAGUCUGGUGGCUAUGGUGGUAGAUCAGAGGUUGAAUCUGGUGGAUACGGUGGAAGAUCGGAGUCUGGUGGCUAUGGUGGAAGAACGGAGGUUGAGUAUGGCCGGAGACCUGAAUCUGGAUAUGGUGGGAGAUCGGAGACGGAGACCGGGUACGGAUCCGGGUAUGAGAAGAAACCGAGCUUCGGUGAAGAGAGGAGCGAGUAUGAGCGCAAGCCUAGCUAUGGAAGGUCUGAGGAUCAAGAGGAAGGAGGUUACAGGAAGCCUAGCUAUGGGAGAUCUGAGGAUCAGGUUGAGAGCUACAUAAAGCCCAGCAGCUACGGGAGGUCUGAGGAAGAGGAAGAAGGAGGCUAUAGGAAGCCUAGCUAUGGAAGGUCUGAGGAACAGGAGGAAGGGAGUUACAGGAAGCCUAGCUAUGGCCGUCGUAAUGAUGAUGAUGAUGAUGAGGAGCGCAGGAACCGUUCCGGUGAUGAUGAGGAAGGGAGCUAUGGCCGCAAGAAAUAUGUAAGUUCAAUAAGUUAAUUAUAUAAAGUUAUAGUCAAUUUGCAUCUAGAUUAUUGUGUGGAAAUUAAGUUUAUUGAUUGUUUAAACAUAAAACCCUUUUGUUGAUGGACUGAUCUCAACAUUGAAACUAAAGAUUAUAGUUUUGGUGAUAACAUCCAUUACCCCCUUUAACUUCAUUCGUUCAGUAUUUGAUUUAACAUUGACAUCUUGUAGGUUAUAACAAUCAUAGUACAGAACUUGCAUUGUGUUUUUUGCGUCUCGUUUGUUUUGAAAAUAAGUUUUAGUUUGGUUUUGAUCACAGUGUAGCGGUGUAACUCUGUUUUCACAUCCUGAAAUGGAGUUCCUUAAUUUGAAAGCUAUGUUCUACAAUCCCAUAAUAACGUUCCUGGUUCAAUGUUUGUUUGAAUAUAGACAUCUUGAAUAUGUCCCAUUGUUGAUCUUAGUGUAGAGUAGUCUCCAUGUUGAACUAAAGUGUUUGUCUUUCAUACCCUGUAACUCUGUUUUCACAUCCUGUAAUGGAUUAGCCUCGGUUGAAAGCUAAGUUCUUUGAUUGAAAUUGCACAUCAUGUAUAUGACAUUUGAAGAUCAUAGUUACAGAGUAUCUAUCUCCAUUGUUAUGGUGACCGUUAAUAGAGGCAUCACUGACUAAAGCUUUCGCUUAACGUUAUUCAUCUCUGCAUCAAAUUCUGUAGGGUGGCAAUGACUCUGAUGAUGAUGAGGAGAAGAAGCAGCAGCGUUACAAGCAUCACCACCACCAGAGGCGUCGUGAUGAAGACGAUGACUAAAGCCCUCACUCAGUGCUGGAAUCGAGUGCUUCUACUUAG